Long non-coding RNA from Sceloporus undulatus (fence lizard), 878 nucleotides. RefSeq lists it as uncharacterized. The transcript has 4 exons. NCBI's taxonomy places the organism in Eukaryota, Metazoa, Chordata, Lepidosauria, Squamata, Phrynosomatidae. The record is from RefSeq and is a predicted model, not a curated record.
CUCCAUGCAUAUUCCACUCUUCCAUCUCCAAAAAUCAACUCCUUCACAUUUUCUGUCCUUGCAAUUUAUUACCAAAUUUCUAGACUUAUAGAUGAGUAUAUACAGUACUCUACUUCCCACCAGCUCAUCCAGUAACCCAGCUAACCUAGUGCUUUUAAAGUAUCUUAAGUAAAGACAGGCAUGUAUUGCUGAAUUAGAUUCUUAUACAGAAAUCUUCCAUAUUCAGUGGUUGACCCAUCCUUGCCCUUGUUGGUAUAUGUUGAAGAUAAUCAGAUGUCAUUGUUGGGGUAAUCAUUACUCAUCACAGAGGCUUUCAAUUGGAAUCAACAAAAUCUUUCAAAUCAAUUUUCUGGCACCAGCUGCGACCUUUUAUUCUCACCCUCAAUGGUGGAUCAACUCUGAUAUCCAGCCUGCUCCUUGUAACUGAAUGUGUUGACAAGGAAUGAAAAUGCUGAUAGGGCAUUUCAAAGGCCUGUUGAUGCAGCGGAGUCAACUGAGAACUACUUAUCUUUCUUCCUCUGGCUAUCAGAACAGUUUGUUCUUUCCCAUGUUAAAAAAUGGUACUUUGCAGUCACUUCUAUGGAGAAGUAAGAAUGAAUUAGUUUAAUCAGACAGACAUCAGUUACUAAAGGAUGAAGGACUUUUCACUUUCUUCCACCCCCGUAAAUACCAUACUGAGUUCCUGUUAUCCCAAGUUGGAAAAAUGUAAUUGAGGAGUCUGGGAUGAAUUUCCCUGUGGACACACUUGGAAGAAGCAACAGUGGCUCCAUUAAAAAGAAUGAAGAAUAUUAUGAUCUGAAGUCAAAGGCUUUCGUGGCUGGUGUCCAUAGUUUUUUGUUGGGUUUUUGGGCUAUCUGGCCAUGUUCUAGAAGAGUUUA